AUGAACGCUGGCGGCGUGCCUAAUACCUGCAAGUCGAGCGCACGGACGAGAAGCUUGCUUUUCUGAUGUUAGCGGCGGACGGGUGAGUAACACGUGGAUAACCUACCUAUAAGACUGGGAUAACUUCGGGAAACCGGAGCUAAUACCGGAUAAUAUUUUGAACCGCAUGGUUCAAAAGUGAAAGACGGUCUUGCUGUCACUUAUAGAUGGAUCCGCGCUGCAUUAGCUAGUUGGUAAGGUAGCGGCUUACCAAGGCAACGAUGCAUAGCCGACCUGAGAGGGUGAUCGGCCACACUGGAACUGAGACACGGUCCAGACUCCUACGGGAGGCAGCAGUAGGGAAUCUUCCGCAAUGGGCGAAAGCCUGACGGAGCAACGCCGCGUGAGUGAUGAAGGUCUUCGGAUCGUAAAACUCUGUUAUUAGGGAAGAACAUAUGUGUAAGUAACUGUGCACAUCUUGACGGUACCUAAUCAGAAAGCCACGGCUAACUACGUG
RNAcentral lists this ribosomal RNA (496 nucleotides) under uncultured bacterium. Its description in RNAcentral is "partial 16S ribosomal RNA". It matches the Rfam family "Bacterial small subunit ribosomal RNA", at positions 29 to 507 of the family's 1533-position model. The record is from RNAcentral.